CAAUUCAUUUUGGUAAACCUAAGGUUUGGCUGAUGUCUCUAACAGUUUUAUUCUUGUUUCUCAGUCUCAUAAUGACUUCUUUAACUUUCAUAGGCACAACUCUGGUGCUCAUGUUGAUAAACAGCAAUAAAAGUUUCCAAAGGUGAUGGAAAGACUGGAGGAAAGGUUAGAUGCUGAGGGCUCUCUUAUACCUGCAUUAAGGAGGCAAUUAAACACACCUGAGCAAUUACAAAUGCCUGUG
Molecule: long non-coding RNA, 241 nt
Organism: Amblyraja radiata (thorny skate)
Lineage: Eukaryota; Metazoa; Chordata; Chondrichthyes; Rajiformes; Rajidae
Exons: 3
Source: RefSeq, a predicted model, not a curated record